RNAcentral lists this ribosomal RNA (503 nucleotides) under uncultured bacterium. RNAcentral describes it as "bacterial SSU rRNA". It matches the Rfam family "Bacterial small subunit ribosomal RNA", at positions 28 to 526 of the family's 1533-position model. The record is from RNAcentral.
GACGAACGCUGGCGGCAUGCCUAACACAUGCAAGUCGAACGGAGCCGUACCGAGUGAUUCCUUCGGGAUGAACAUGGUACACGCUUAGUGGCGGACGGGUGAGUAACGCGUGAGUAACCUGCCUUCAAGAGGGGGACAACAUUUGGAAACAGAUGCUAAUACCGCAUAUGCCCACAGUGCCGAGUGGCACAGGGGGGAAAGAUUUAUCGCUUGAAGAUGGACUCGCGUCCCAUUAGUUAGUUGGUGAGGUAACGGCUCACCAAGACCGCGAUGGGUGGCCGGACUGAGAGGUUGAACGGCCACACUGGGACUGAGACACGGCCCAGACUCCUACGGGAGGCAGCAGUGGGGAAUAUUGGGCAAUGGGCGAAAGCCUGACCCAGCAAUGCCGCGUGAAUGAAGAAGGUCUUCGGAUUGUAAAAUUCUGUCCUAUGGGAAGAAACAAAUGACGGUACCAUAGGAGGAAGCCCCGGCUAACUACGUGCCAGCCGCCGCAGUAACAC